GAAAGUAAUUAAGGGCGUAUGGGGGAUGCCUAGGCUCUUGGAGGCUAAGAAGGACGUGGUAAGCUGCGAAAAGCUGCGGGGAUUUGCAAACGAGACUCGAUCCGCAGAUAUCCGAAUGGGACAACCCGGCAGGUAGAAGACCUGUCACACCGCGAGGUGAGCUAACCCUCUGAACUGAAACAUCUAAGUAGGAGGAGGAAAAGAAAGAAACAUCGAUUUCCAAAGUAGCGGCGAGCGAAAUGGAAGGAGCCCAAACCGAUAUUGUUACGGCAAUAUCGGGGUUGUAGGACUGCAAUAUUCAAUUAACAAUGAACUGGAAUGGUCUGGAAAGUCCAUCCAUAGAGAGUGAAAGGCUCGUACAGGUAAGUUUGUUAUGCGAAAGCAGUAUCCUGAGUAUGGCGGGACACGAGGAAUCCUGUCAGAAUCAGCCGGGACCACCCGGUAAGGCUAAAUACUCCCAAGAGACCGAUAGUGGACCAGUACUGUGAAGGAAAGGUGAAAAGAACCCCGAACAGGGGAGUGAAAUAGAACCUGAAACCAUACGCUUACAACCGGUCGGAGCAGCUUCGUGCUGUGACGGCGUGCCUAUUGAAUAAUGAGCCUACGAGUUACUAAUCACUAGCGAGGUUAAGUGCAAGGAUGCACGGAGCCGAAGCGAAAGCGAGUCUGAACAGGGCGUUUAGUUAGUGGUUGUAGACGCGAAACCUUGCGAUCUACCCUUGAGCAGGUUGAAGGUUGGGUAAAACCAACUGGAGGACCGAACGAAUAAGCGUUGAAAAGCUUCUCGAUGACUUGAGGGUAGGGGUGAAAGGCUAAUCAAGCUGGGAAAUAGCUCGUACUCCCCGAAAUGCCUUUUGGGGCAGCGUUGUAAUAAAGAGUCUACUGGAGGUAGAGCUACUGAUUGGAUGCGGGGGCUUCACCGCCUACCAAAUCCUGACAAACUCCGAAUGCCAGUAGUAUGAUUUACAGCAGUGAGUGACUGGGUGCUAAUGUCCAGUCGCAAAAGAGGAACAACUCAGACCAGCAACUAAGGUCCCGAAGAAUAUGCUAAGUUGAUCUAACGAUGUUUUGUUGCAGAGACAGCUAGGAUGUUAGCUUGGAAGCAGCUAUUCAUUCAAAGAGUGCGUAACAGCUCACUAGUCGAGCGACAGAGCGUGGAUAAUAAACGGGCAUCAAGCAUAUCACCGAAGUUCUGGGCGCGAGAGCGCGGUAGGGGAGCAUUCCAUUCAGCGUCGAAGCAGUUUCGUGAGGAAUUGUGGAGCGUAUGGAAAAGCAAAUGUAGGCAUGAGUAACGAUAAUGCGGGAGAGUAACCCGCACACCGCAAGACCAAGGUUUCCUGAUCAACGCUAAUCGGAUCAGGGUUAGUCGGGUCCUAAGGGUAAGCCGAACGGCGAUCUCGAUGGAUAAUCGGUUAAUAUUCCGAUACUAACAUAUACCUCGAUGGAGAGACGAAGGAACGUAAGUGCCGCCACCUGACGGAAUAGGUGGUUAAAGGGCGUAGAUAUAGGGGCAGAUUAAGAGUUAGUCCUUGCUGAAACCUGACAGUACAGAGAGCCUACGGGCAAUUUGAUAGAGCACCCAAGUCGACUUCCGAGAAAAUCUUCUAAGUUAUAGUAUAUGUUACCCGUACCGUAAACCGACACAGGUGGUCGAGGAGAGUAUCCUAAGGUGCUCGAGUGAAUCACGGUUAAGGAACUAGGCAAAUUAACCCCGUAACUUCGGGAAAAGGGGUCCCUAUGAAAGUAGGGCGCAGCGAAGAGGUCCAGGCGACUGUUUAUCAAAAACACAGGGCUCUGCAAAUUCGAAAGAAGACGUAUAGGGCCUGACACCUGCCCGGUGCUGGAAGGUUAAGAGGGGAUGUCAUCGCAAGAGAAGCAUUGAAUCGAAGCCCCAGUAAACGGCGGCCGUAACUAUAACGGUCCUAAGGUAGCGAAAUUCCUUGUCGGGUAAGUUCCGACCUG
Molecule: ribosomal RNA, 1962 nt
Filed under: human gut metagenome
Description: bacterial LSU rRNA
Rfam family: Bacterial large subunit ribosomal RNA
Source: RNAcentral